AUCAUAAAAUUGACUGAAUUAUUUCUCCUUUUUUAGGGGAGAAGAAUAUGUAAGUCCGUCUUUCUCACCUUGAGAACUUCAGCAUUGAGCCAUCAUGUUGUGCCACAGGAUAAUUUGUGAGCUUGCAGUACUAUGACCUACAACAGUGUGAAGAUGUGCUUUCUGGCUUAAGUCAGCACAGAAGGAUAUACAAACUCCCACUGCCUAUUCACAUUACCUCUAACCUCAGAUGAUGCCAAUGAUAAUUACAAUUCAUUAUUAACUACCUGUAUGACUGAUGUGCUAGGAGGUACUUCUGAUUCUGAGGCUCAGGAGAGGCAAAGUGAAUCCCACUAAAGGGAAG
Molecule: long non-coding RNA, 343 nt
Filed under: Chrysolophus pictus (golden pheasant)
Lineage: Eukaryota; Metazoa; Chordata; Aves; Galliformes; Phasianidae
Description: lncRNA (ENSCPIG00010003465.1)
Source: RNAcentral